UGGGGAAUCUUGCGCAAUGGGCGAAAGCCUGACGCAGCGAUGCCGCGUGAGGGAAGAAGGCCUUCGGGUUGUAAACCUCUUUCAGAAGGGACGAAGCUACUCGGGUUAAUAGCCCAGAGGGUGACGGUACCUUCAGAAGAAGCCCCGGCUAACUACGUGCCAGCAGCCGCGGUAAUACGUAGGGGGCAAGCGUUGUCCGGAUUUAUUGGGCGUAAAGAGCGUGUAGGCGGCCAAGUAGGUCAGCUGUGAAAACUCGGGGCUCAACCCCGAGACGUCGGUUGAAACCACUUGGCUAGAGUCCGGAAGAGGAGUGUGGAAUUCCCGGUGUAGCGGUGAAAUGCGCAGAUAUCGGGAAGAACACCCGUGGCGAAGGCGGCACUCUGGGACGGUACUGACGCUGAGACGCGAAAGCGUGGGGAGCGAACA
RNAcentral lists this ribosomal RNA (426 nucleotides) under uncultured bacterium. RNAcentral's name for it is "bacterial SSU rRNA". It matches the Rfam family "Bacterial small subunit ribosomal RNA", at positions 355 to 774 of the family's 1533-position model. The record is from RNAcentral.